AAUUUGGGACAAUGGGGGAAACCCUGAUCUAGCCAUCCCGCUUUUAUUAUGAAGGCCUUCGGGUUGUAAAUUACUUCUGGCAGGGAAGAAAAGGUAGCCCCUAAUGCGGGAUACUGCUGACGGUAUCUGCAUAUUAAGCACCGGCUAACUACGUGCCAGCCGCCGCGGAAAUAUGUAGGGUGCAAGCUUUAAACGGAAUUACUGGGCGUAAAGCGGGUGUAGGCGGUUCGGAAAGAAAGAUGUGAAAUCCCAGGGCUCAACCUUGGAACUGCAUUUUUAACUGCCGAGCUAGAGUAUGUCAGAGGGGGGUAGAAUUCCACGUGUAGCAGUGAAAUGCGUAGAUAUGUGGAGGAAUACCGAUGGCGAAGGCAGCCCCCUGGGAUAAUACUGACGCUCAGACACGAAAGCGUGGGGAGCAAACAGG
Molecule: ribosomal RNA, 424 nt
Filed under: uncultured bacterium
Lineage: Bacteria
Description: partial 16S ribosomal RNA
Rfam family: Bacterial small subunit ribosomal RNA
Source: RNAcentral